GGAAUCAAACACGGAAGAGGAACAUCAUCUGCAGUGAGUGAAUAGUAGCGGUGAGAUGCAGAAGCAGAAGAAGCACUUAAUCGAUGCUUUCAUUGGUGGGAAAAGGAACACGAAUAAGAAGCAUGACAUUGAAAUGUCUAUCCCUUACCCAUUCACUCACUCAAACCCAUAAUUCACAACACGUCACUACCUUCUCCUCUUCUCUCCACAACCAUAACCCUCUCUUUCAGAUAUACUCCGGAAUUCUCAGCUCUCGAAUUCGAGCGUUUUCGACCAACUUCAGAGGCGGAACCACACCCACUGCUUCUUCUUCUUUGCCCCAAAUCAUGGCGAGUUUCGACACUGAAUCUGUCACUUACCUUACGCAGCGUGAAGCCGCUGAGAUCGAUGAGUCGCUCAUGGGUCCUCUUGGCUUCAGUGUCGACCAGCUCAUGGAAUUGGCUGGUUUGAGCGUCGCUGCUUCUAUAUCUGAGGUUUACAAACCAAGUGAGUAUAGUCGUGUUCUUACCAUAUGUGGCCCUGGUAAUAAUGGUGGUGAUGGUCUGGUGGCUGCCCGUCACCUGCAUCACUUUGGUUAUAAGCCCUCAGUCUGCUACCCAAAGCGUACUGCAAAACCUCUUUAUACUGGAUUAGUUACUCAGCUUGAAGCACUGUCAAUUCCAUUCUUGUCAGUGGAAGACCUGCCAUCAGAUCUCUCAGAAGACUUUGACAUUCUAUUAGAUGCAAUGUUUGGAUUCUCAUUUCAUGGUUCUCCAAGGCCUCCUUUUGAUGAUUUGAUCCAGAAACUAGUCUCUUUGCAUAAUCAUAAUCAAAUUGGUCAAAAACAAUCAGUUAUAGUGUCUGUAGAUAUUCCCUCUGGGUGGCAUGUUGAAGACGGAGAUGUUGAUGGUACUGGCAUUAAACCUGAUAUGUUGGUUUCUUUGACAGCCCCAAAAUUAUGUGCAAAGAAAUAUGGUGGUCAUCACCACUUUCUUGGAGGUAGAUUUGUUCCUCCUGCCAUUGCAGAAAAAUAUAAGCUUAUACUUCCACCAUAUCCUGGAACAUCCAUGUGUGUUCGAAUUGGAAAGCCUCCACAAAUUGAUAUUUCAGCUUUAAGAGAGAACUAUAUCUCUCCAGAAUUUCUGGAAGAGCAGGUGGAGGCUGACCCUAUUAAUCAGUUUCGUAAAUGGUUUGAUGAUGCAAUGGCUGCUGGUUUGAAGGAACCAAAUGCUAUGGCCUUGUCAACUGUAGGGAAGGAUGGACAACCCUCAUCACGAAUGGUAUUGCUAAAAGGCUUGGAAAAGGAUGGAUUUGUUUGGUACACAAACUAUGAAAGUCAAAAGGCAUCUCAAUUAUCUGAAAAUCCACAUGCAUCACUUCUUUUUUAUUGGGAUGGUUUAAACCGGCAGGUAAUUGUUGUUUUAAUUCUAGCUAGCCAGCUACAUCUUCAGAUUGAUUUAUUCAUACAUGGAAUUGAUGAAGUUAAUUUUUCAUGCCAAGGAGCAUCUAGCCUUCUCCUUGGAAACCUUUGGUGCAGCAUGUCAUAAUGUACCUUCCUAGGAGGCAAAAAAUGAGAAGUAUAUAAUAUUUGAUAGUUAGAACUCCUGAAAAGACUGUUUAAGAUGUGGAUGAAUAAAAUUCUUUCAGGUGGUAUAACAUAGGGAAUUAGAAUAUCUACUUUCAGUAUCACCUCUACUUUUGGAAAUCUUGACAAACAACAACAACAACGACAGUCUUAUCUCACUAGGUGAGGUCGCCUACAUAGAUCACAUGACGCCAUUGAGCUCGGUCAAAAACCAAAUCUUUAGAAAUCAGGUACGAGUGGAGGGGUCUGUUCAAAAAGUCUCUGAUGAGGAAUCAGAAAAGUAUUUCCAUAGCCGUCCUAGAGGAAGCCAGAUUGGAGCAAUAGUCAGCAAGCAGAGCACUGUAGUGCCUGGUAGGCAUGUUCUUUAUCAAGAGUACAGAGAGCUGGAACAAAAAUAUGCGGAUGGAAGUUUGAUCCCUAAACCUAAGAACUGGGGAGGAUACAGGCUAAGACCACAACUUUUUGAGUUUUGGCAAGGACAGCAAUCUCGCUUGCAUGACAGGUGGUUGCUCUCCAGAUUAUGAUAGGUUGCGAUAUACUCCCCAUGAGAUCAAUGGACAACGGCUGUGGAAGGUUGAGCGAUUGGCCCCUUGAUCACUUAUAUUGUUUCAAUAUCUCAAUAUGUGAAAAAUAAGGGAAUGAAAUUCUUUCUAUAUCUCGACCUAUUUUUUCUUUUUUGUGCUAUUUCUAUUUUUAUAUGCUUAGUAUUGGUUUUUCUUGGCAUUCUAAGUAGAAUUGAUUGCAAGUUCUACAUUUUAAGUAAAAAGUUUAAUUGUACUUUGCUCUCUUUAGUUUGAAUUAUGCGUGAUUUUUGUUCCCUAAGUUUUUUUAAUCUAAUUAAGUCUUUGUAUUUUUAACAUUGGGCAAAUUUAGUCCCUCAUUAAUUUUCUUCUACU
Molecule: RNA transcript, 2460 nt
Organism: Abrus precatorius (Indian licorice)
Lineage: Eukaryota; Viridiplantae; Streptophyta; Magnoliopsida; Fabales; Fabaceae
Gene name: pyridoxine/pyridoxamine 5'-phosphate oxidase 1, chloroplastic
Exons: 14
Source: RefSeq, a predicted model, not a curated record